RNAcentral lists this ribosomal RNA (486 nucleotides) under Lipomyces tetrasporus. RNAcentral's name for it is "partial 26S ribosomal RNA". It matches the Rfam family "Eukaryotic large subunit ribosomal RNA", at positions 62 to 551 of the family's 3401-position model. The record is from RNAcentral. Lineage: Eukaryota; Fungi; Ascomycota; Lipomycetes; Lipomycetales; Lipomycetaceae.
AAACCAACAGGGAUUGCCUUAGUAACUGCGAGUGAAGCGGCAAGAGCUCAAAUUUGAAAUCUGGCACCUUCGGUGUCCGAGUUGUAAUUUGUAGAAGCAUCUUUUGGAUUGGUCCUUGCAUAUGUUCCUUGGAACAGGACAUCAUAGAGGGUGAGAAUCCCGUUCAUGGUGGGGAAUCCAAUUCUUUGUAAAGUGCUUUCGAAGAGUCGAGUUGUUUGGGAAUGCAGCUCUAAGUGGGUGGUAAAUUCCAUCUAAAGCUAAAUAUUGGCGAGAGACCGAUAGCGAACAAGUACAGUGAUGGAAAGAUGAAAAGAACUCCGAAAGGAGAGUGAAAAAGGACGUGAAAUUGUUGAAAGGGAAGUGCUUGAGAUCAGUCUUAAGGUUUAGUGAUCAGUCUUCCUUUUGGUUGGUGCACUCACUAUUUCUUAGGCCAACAUCAGUUUUCGCGGCAGGAUAAUGACAUUGGAAUGUGGCUCUUUCGGGAGU